GAUGAACGCUGGCGGCGUGCUUAACACAUGCAAGUCGAACGGAAAGGCCCAAGCUUGCUUGGGUACUCGAGUGGCGAACGGGUGAGUAACACGUGGGUGAUCUGCCCUGCACUUCGGGAUAAGCCUGGGAAACUGGGUCUAAUACCGGAUAGGACCACAUUUUGGAUGGUGUGGUGGAAAGUUUUUCGGUGUGGGAUGAGCUCGCGGCCUAUCAGCUUGUUGGUGGGGUAAUGGCCUACCAAGGCGUCGACGGGUAGCCGGCCUGAGAGGGUGUACGGCCACAUUGGGACUGAGAUACGGCCCAGACUCCGACGGGAGGCAGCAGUGGGGAAUAUUGCACAAUGGGCGCAAGCCUGAUGCAGCGACGCCGCGUGGGGGAUGACGGCCUUCGGGUUGUAAACUCCUUUCGCUAGGGACGAAGCGCAAGUGACGGUACCUGGAGAAGAAGCACCGGCUAACUACGU
Molecule: ribosomal RNA, 464 nt
Filed under: uncultured bacterium
Lineage: Bacteria
Description: partial 16S ribosomal RNA
Rfam family: Bacterial small subunit ribosomal RNA
Source: RNAcentral